This 265-nucleotide ribosomal RNA is filed under the name uncultured prokaryote. Its description in RNAcentral is "partial 16S ribosomal RNA". It matches the Rfam family "Bacterial small subunit ribosomal RNA", at positions 917 to 1178 of the family's 1533-position model. The record is from RNAcentral.
GGGCCCGCACAAGCAGCGGAGCAUGUGGUUUAAUUCGAAGCAACGCGAAGAACCUUACCAGGGCUUGACAUCCACAGAAUCGAGUAGAAAUACUUGAGUGCCUUCUAUGAAGGAGCUGUGAGACAGGUGGUGCAUGGUUGUCGUCAGCUCGUGUCGUGAGAUGUUGGGUUAAGUCCCGCAACGAGCGCAACCCCUGUUGGUAGUUACCAGCGUAAAGACGGGGACUCUACCGAGACUGCCGUGGAUAACACGGAGGAAGGCGGGG